This 254-nucleotide ribosomal RNA is filed under the name uncultured bacterium. Its description in RNAcentral is "partial 16S ribosomal RNA". It matches the Rfam family "Bacterial small subunit ribosomal RNA", at positions 524 to 776 of the family's 1533-position model. The record is from RNAcentral.
UACGUAGGGUGCAAGCGUUGUCCGGAAUCACUGGGCGUAAAGCGCACGUAGGCGGGUCGUUUAAGUCGGGGGUGAAAUCCUGGAGCUCAACUCCAGAACUGCCUUCGAUACUGGCGACCUUGAGUCCGGGAGAGGUGAGUGGAACUCCGAGUGUAGAGGUGAAAUUCGUAGAUAUUCGGAAGAACACCAGUGGCGAAGGCGGCUCACUGGCCCGGUACUGACGCUGAGGUGCGAAAGCGUGGGGAGCAAACAGG